UACGUAGGGGGCAAGCGUUAUCCGGAAUUACUGGGUGUAAAGGGUGAGUAGGCGGUAUGAUAAGCCAUAUGUGAAAUCCCAAGGCUCAACCAUGGGACUGCAUGAGGAACUGUUGUACUAGAGUGCAGGAGAGGUAAGUGGAAUUCCUAGUGUAGCGGUGAAAUGCGUAGAUAUUAGGAAGAACACCAGUGGCGAAGGCGACUUACUGGACUGAAACUGACGCUGAGUCACGAAAGCGUGGGGAGCAAACAGG
This 253-nucleotide ribosomal RNA is filed under the name uncultured bacterium. RNAcentral's name for it is "partial 16S ribosomal RNA". It matches the Rfam family "Bacterial small subunit ribosomal RNA", at positions 524 to 776 of the family's 1533-position model. The record is from RNAcentral.